AGAACGAACGCUGGCGGCAUGCCUAACACAUGCAAGUCGAACGAGACCUUCGGGUCUAGUGGCGCACGGGUGCGUAACGCGUGGGAAUCUGCCCUUAGGUUCGGAAUAACAGUUAGAAAUGACUGCUAAUACCGGAUAAUGUCUUCGGACCAAAGAUUUAUUGCCUAAGGAUGAGCCCGCGUAAGAUUAGCUUGUGGUGAGGUAAAGGCUCACCAAGGCGACGAUCUUUAGCUGGUCUGAGAGGAUGAUCAGCCACACUGGGACUGAGACACGGCCCAGACUCCUACGGGAGCAGCAGUGGGGAAUAUUGGACAAUGGGCGAGAGCCUGAUCCAGCAAUGCCGCGUGAGUGAUGAAGGCCUUAAGGGUGUAAAGCUCUUUACCCGGGAUGAUAAUGACAGUACCGGAGAACUAAGCCCCGGCUAACUCCGUGCCAGCAGCCGC
RNAcentral lists this ribosomal RNA (443 nucleotides) under uncultured soil bacterium. RNAcentral's name for it is "bacterial SSU rRNA". It matches the Rfam family "Bacterial small subunit ribosomal RNA", at positions 26 to 518 of the family's 1533-position model. The record is from RNAcentral.